Molecule: ribosomal RNA, 440 nt
Filed under: uncultured bacterium
Lineage: Bacteria
Description: partial 16S ribosomal RNA
Rfam family: Bacterial small subunit ribosomal RNA
Source: RNAcentral
CCUACGGGAGGCAGCAGUGGGGGAUAUUGCACAAUGGGGGGAACCCUGAUGCAGCGACGCCGCGUGGGUGAAGGAGCGUUUCGGCGCGUAAAGCCCUAUCGGCAGGGACGAAGGUGCCGGUACCUGACCAAGAAGCCCCGGCUAACUACGUGCCAGCAGCCGCGGGAAGACGUAGGGGGCAAGCGUUAUCCGGAUGUACUGGGUGUCAAGGGGGAGCAGACGGCAAUGCAAGCCAGGAGUGAAAGCCCGGGGCUCAACCCCGGGACUGCUCUUGGAACUGCAUGGCUGGAGUACAGGAGGGGCAGGCGGAAUGCCUAGUGUAGCGGUGAAAUGCGUAGAUAUUAGGAGGAACACCGGUGGCGAAGGCGGCCUGCUGGACUGUGACUGACGUUGAGGCCCGAAGGCGUGGGGAGCAAACAGGAUUAGAUACCCUUGUAGUC